GAUGAACGCUAGCGGCAGGCUUAAUACAUGCAAGUCGAGGGGCAACAGGGGGUAGCAAUACCUGCUGGCGACCGGCAAACGGGUGCGGAACACGUACAGAACCUUCCUUUAAGCGGGGGAUAGCCCAUAGAAAUGUGGAUUAAUACCCCAUAGUAAUAUUAGUUGGCAUCAAUUGAUAUUUAAAGAUUUAUCACUUAAAGAUGGCUGUGCGGCUGAUUAGGUAGUUGGUGNGGGUAACGGCCCACCAAGCCAGCGAUCAGUAACUGGUGUGAGAGCACGACCAGUCACACGGGCACUGAGACACGGGCCCGACUCCUACGGGAGGCAGCAAGUAAGGAAUAUUGGUCAAUGGACGCAAGUCUG
This 363-nucleotide ribosomal RNA is filed under the name uncultured bacterium. RNAcentral describes it as "bacterial SSU rRNA". It matches the Rfam family "Bacterial small subunit ribosomal RNA", at positions 28 to 385 of the family's 1533-position model. The record is from RNAcentral.